UACGUAGGGCGCAAGCGUUAUCCGGAAUUAUUGGGCGUAAAGGGCGCGUAGGCGGCUUUGCAAGUGACGGGUGAAAGCCCUCGGCUUAACCGAGGAACUGCCUGUCAGACUGUGAGGCUUGAGACCGGGAGAGGUGAGUGGAAUUCCCAGUGUAGCGGUGAAAUGCGUAGAUAUUGGGAGGAACACCAGUGGCGAAGGCGGCUCACUGGACCGGAACUGACGCUGAGGCGCGAAAGCGUGGGGAGCAAACAGG
Molecule: ribosomal RNA, 253 nt
Filed under: uncultured bacterium
Lineage: Bacteria
Description: partial 16S ribosomal RNA
Rfam family: Bacterial small subunit ribosomal RNA
Source: RNAcentral